UCUAUUUCGAAUCAUGUUAAAUUGAUUGUCAGAGGCUAAUAAAUUUUGUAGUACUCUAUUUUUUUCGCAUACAUAAAAGUGAUAAAUAAAGUACUUUAUGCUUACCACAGUGGACAAUAUGUGUGUAUAUUAAGGUGUAGAAAAAAUGGGUUGAGAAUUUUGUAAAAAAAUUCUAGCAAAUUAGAGAAUCUAUUUAAACUUGAAUAACUUACCAACUAAUGACAUACUAU
This 230-nucleotide long non-coding RNA is filed under the name Ananas comosus (pineapple). RNAcentral describes it as "long non-coding RNA (ACOM_LNC013364)". The record is from RNAcentral. Lineage: Eukaryota; Viridiplantae; Streptophyta; Magnoliopsida; Poales; Bromeliaceae.